UGCUUGCACUUUGGCAGACUGAGUGGCGGACGGGUGAGUAACGCGUGGGUAACCUGCCUUAUACAGGGGGAUAACAGUUGGAAACGGCUGCUAAUACCGCAUAAGCGCACAGCUUCGCAUGAAGCAGUGUGAAAAACUCCGGUGGUACAAGAUGGACCCGCGUCUGAUUAGCUGGUUGGUGAGGUAACGGCCCACCAAGGCGACGAUCAGUAGCCGGUCUGAGAGGAUGAACGGCCACAUUGGGACUGAGACACGGCCCAGACUCC
Molecule: ribosomal RNA, 266 nt
Filed under: uncultured Lachnospiraceae bacterium
Lineage: Bacteria; Bacillati; Bacillota; Clostridia; Lachnospirales; Lachnospiraceae
Description: partial 16S ribosomal RNA
Rfam family: Bacterial small subunit ribosomal RNA
Source: RNAcentral